AUGAACGGCCGGACGCGCAUGCGCCCGCCCAUGCCGCGCGACUACUUCGGCAACGUGGUCCUGUGGGCGUUCCCGCGCACGGACGCCGGCGACCUCAUGUCCCGGCCGGUGGGCCACGCGGCGGAGCUCGUCUACCGCGCCGUGGCGGACGUGGACAACGCCUACUUCCGGUCCUUCGUGGACCUUGCCUCCUCCGGCGUUGUGGAGGCUGAGGGGCUGGUCUCAACGGCGGACAGCGAGCAGGCGGUGCUGUGCCCGGACCUGGAGGUGGACGCGUGGCUGGGGAUCAACUUCCACGGCCUGAAUUUCGGCGGCGGCGGGCCCUUCCGCGUCAUGCCGACGUACUACCCCAUGGAGGGCAGCCUGUUCCUGGUGCCGUCCACCCUGGGCGACGGCAGCAUGGAGGCCUACGUGGCCCUCUUCGACGACCACCUUGCGGAGUUCAAGAGGAUAUGCCACAAGAUCGAUUAG
This 471-nucleotide ribosomal RNA is filed under the name Triticum aestivum (bread wheat). RNAcentral describes it as "partial small subunit ribosomal RNA". Lineage: Eukaryota; Viridiplantae; Streptophyta; Magnoliopsida; Poales; Poaceae. The record is from RNAcentral.